Molecule: long non-coding RNA, 3231 nt
Filed under: Linum usitatissimum (flax)
Lineage: Eukaryota; Viridiplantae; Streptophyta; Magnoliopsida; Malpighiales; Linaceae
Description: long non-coding RNA (LUSI_LNC002814)
Source: RNAcentral
CUCAUAGUCGGGUUUCCCUUCACCCUCCCCAUAUUUCUGAUCACUGCUACAUCACGAGGACUACAGAGGCUCCUAUUCCUUCUCUCUCCCAAAACCAUUCCGUUUCGUUAAGAUGUGGUGCUCUCAUCCUUGUUAUAGGCAGAUCCUGGUGGCUGCUUGGAACCCUCUUCCCCCAGUUACUACUCUUAGAGGAGUUUAUCGUAAGGUGAAUAAAGUUGUCCUCAAAAUUUUCAAUUGUUCCCAAUUUGAUGAUAUUCUAGGUCGUGUCUAUGAAGCUACUGCCAGGCUUUAACAAGCUGCCUUCAUACUCUCAACUGCCCCUUUGCAGCCAGUUUUACUUUGGUUUUGAUAUGUACUGAGGAUUGGCAUAAACCUCGUAUCGCCGAGUAGUCCUUUUUUUGGAAAAAAUAUAAAGACCUUAAGGUAAAUUUUGGAGACUUGAGUUCUUCCUAUUUUCAUAGGGUUGUCAAGAUCCGAGAAGCUAGACAUCAGAUUACAUGCCUUCAGAUAGCUGAUGGUCGCUCUCUGACCUCCUUGCCUAUCAUUAUUAAUGAAGUUGUUGGUUUUUAUAAGGGUAUGCUUGGCUCUAUGCAUACCUCUUUUCACUUACAAAUUGAAAGCUACUUUGAGGACCUUCUGAUUCAUAACCUCCCCCUGGUUCUACUUCUCAUCUUUGUGCCACUAUUUUGGAUGCAAAAAUAGGAUGCUCGUUUCUCACUUGUUGGAGAGAAAAGCCCCUGUCCAUAUAGCUUUGUUGUUGCUUUUUCCAUGAUUUUUGGGAUGUUGAGAUCACUAAUAUUGUCUAGGAUUUUUUCCUCACAAAUGAUCUUCCAGCUUAAGUGAACUCCACCUCCCUAGCUCUGAUUCCAAAAUUUCUUAAUAUUGAUUCUAUGGCUAACUUUUCUUUGAUCUCUUUCUACAAUGUGCUCUAUAAGACCAUCACCAAUAUUAUCUCCAAGCACAUGAGUCUGGUGCUUCCCUUUUCGAUUAGUACUAGCCAAUCUGUUUUAUUAAAGGGCGGGUCAUUACUGGUAAGAAGUUAUGAAGGCCUUUGAUUCCUUGAACUGGGAAUUUCUCCUAUUUUUUACGUGCUAUUGGAUUUCAUAAGGGUUUUGUGAUGUGGAUUGUCACCUAUUUCCGUAGCGCCAAGUUAAGUGUUUUUAUUAAUGGUGGCCUAUGUGACUAUUUCCUGCUUUAAAGGCCUGAGACAUGGGGAUUCACUGUCCCCUUAUCUUUUUUUUAUCUCCAUGGAAGUCCUGCAUUGCUUGCUUGCUUGAACUUAUGCUGAUGGUCUCUAUGCCUUCCAUCCUCGUUGCAAGCGGUUUGGUCUCACCCAGCUUUGUUUUGCUAACCAUUUUCUCUUAUUUACCACGAGGUGUCUCAUUGGUGUUGCUGAAAUCCUCAAUGUCCUUCGAUCCUUCCAUCAAUUGUCAAGUUUGAAAGUUAAUCCUCAAAAGUUUGAAAUCUAUUGCUCUCGAAGUGUUCCUGAUGAUCUUGUCCAGCAAAUAGUCUCUUUCCCUGGCUUCCACUGUGGCACUUUGUCGGUGCACUACUUGGGUGUCCCUUUUGAUACCUCUUGUCUUCUUUGCUCUGUUGAUACUAAGACCCGAUACCAUGUUUUUACUGCUUGCUGUUAUACUCGAGAGGUCCAGUUAUAUUUUUUGCUAAGGCACACUACUGGUCUUGGUUGGGAGCAGCUGUUGGUUGAGGCUGUUAUCCUUAUGACAUCUCAUCCCAAAGGUUCUGCCACUUUUUCGGGUCAUCUGGCGAGUGAUCAACUAUCAUAUUUGGCGAGAGCACUGUAGACGCUGGUUCAUGGGGGAGAAGUUUGAUUCUAGGGGUCGUAUUGGUGUUAUUAGUAGUGAUAUCAGGUGUAUUAAAGUUAUUCAAUAGUUUUUAUAGGGUUUUCUUUCUUUCUUUUAGUCUUGAUUUCUAUUUCCCGACAUAAAUUCAUUAUUCUAAAGGAGGGGAGAGCUUGUAGGCAAUAAUUGGCUGCCUUCGUAGAAGGGUGUUGAUCAUCUAUGGACAUAGCUAAUCAUUCAUAGAUUUGUUUUCGGGUGCAGAACAGUAACUUCUCAAGAGGUCACCUAUUUCUCCAAUGCUCCACCCUAAGAACUCAUCCAUUCACCCCUAAAAUGCACAUUUUCAGUUAACUCCCGUAGUUUGUCCAUAUGGGAUUUUCCUAAAAUUUUCUUAGAUCACAAUAUGCCCUUCUUUGUACUGUGAGCCUAAUUUGGUUUUUGAUGAAUGAUAAACUGUUAUUCAUUAGAAAGAAAAGAUACGGUUGAAAUGUUAAUCAUCAAAUAUGUAUGUUAGUAUGCUUUUUCUCUACUAUGCAUACACAAGUUCAAUUCUAAUGAGAAGCAGUUGCAUAUCUUUUUCUUUUAUCUUCAUUCAGUUCUCAAACGAUGUCGUUUUGGAUUAAGAUAAACGUGUUCAUCUUCUUCCACUUCAUCUUGCCCGUCGUCAUUCCUCUGUUUUAUCCAGCGAGCCUCGUAAUCCGACAAAUAAUAACAAACUCAAUGCCUCCCUAAAUAAUUUAAGGCCAUUCUCGUCUAGAUAAUUAUCGUAAAUCAAACUAUGACCCUUUUUGUUGUUGUCUUCCUCUUCUGAUUUAACCUCUUUCGGCACCGAAACAUGAACCCAUGAGAUCAAUGCCAUGAUUCGGGACCAACCCUUCCUUCAAGAGCAAUCGUACGGCUAUUUAAUGCCCUCCUGAAUCUUCAUCCAUCCCGGAGGUAGAAACCAAUGUCCGACAUAUAGUAUCAACGGACUUGUGUCUUUACGACUGCCUACGUACCGAAAAAGAUUGUGAUCAAAGUACACGUAGUUCGACUUUAGGUAACUCGUCGAGUAUGUCGCAUAAGUGGUCUCCACGGUCUGACUGUCUUCAAUUUACAGAUGCUCGAUAAAGUCGUGAGCUCACUCUCGAUAAAGCGAACUUCUACCAUUUUCCAAAACCCCGGGUUACAAGAAAUCACUUAUAAGAUAAAACUAUGGACCUUCAUAUUUAGGCUUGAUGAAUACGAAGCAACAUAUGAAACGAUUUGAGAGGAUGCAGAUUCAAAAAAUAUAAAGACCAAACAACAAAUUCCUAAUAAUUCGGGGCUCUGCCAGGGAAGAAAAGCACUCCCCAAACUAACAAGAUUGAAACCCAAUCUCAAUUUAUACAGAGUGGCCGACAACUAUUACGUUGUUAUUUCAAGGGGAAAUCAACUCAUCUUCUUUUGC